CGGCGGCCCCGCCGCCUUCCUGCGGGGCAUCGCUGGGGGGGACACAGCGGGCGAAAGGUGCAGCAUAAAGAAAGCAACAACUCGGGGCCUUUGCACUAUUUUUGGUGGUGGUUCCUGUUGCAGGAAAAAAAAAAAAAGGAGAAAAUUCCCUUUAUUACAUCGAGGGAUUUUGCAGGAGGGGAACAUGUGGUGCCUUUGGAAUUGGUGAAUUUUUGACCAAUUUGCAAUAUUUGAUUAAUUUGCAAUAUCUGAUUGAUUUAAAAGAUGUGAUUUAUUGAAAA
Molecule: long non-coding RNA, 281 nt
Organism: Chiroxiphia lanceolata (lance-tailed manakin)
Lineage: Eukaryota; Metazoa; Chordata; Aves; Passeriformes; Pipridae
Exons: 3
Source: RefSeq, a predicted model, not a curated record